Gadus morhua (Atlantic cod) is the source of this 1851-nucleotide long non-coding RNA. NCBI's taxonomy places the organism in Eukaryota, Metazoa, Chordata, Actinopteri, Gadiformes, Gadidae. The record is from Ensembl.
AAAAACGCAGAAAAAAAAAUCAGUCUCUCUUUAUCUGAGAGACUGAAAUACAGCUGCAAACAUUCAACAAACACCCCUGCACCUCAUAUAAGCCAUCUUCUCUUUCCCAGAAAUCCGCCUAACACGGCAGCCAUUUUGGUGGUCGAAGCACCCUGGCACUCAAGAAGUUCCACCAAGAAGAAGACAGAGAGGACUUUCUCCCAGGCCAGACCUCCAAUCGUCUCCCUAGGGACUAGGCAGCCCACCCCGAACCUCGUCCUGAGUGUGGUUCACCCACCAAGGAGCCGAGGGAUGUCCCCUUCUCUGUUGCAGCCAAUGAAUGGCCUGGAUUUUCUUUGCAGGUGUGAGCUAACCUUUCUUACCACAACAAUGACAAAGAUGACAAGCAACCAGUAUACCACGGAUGACAGCAUAAAUCCACAGGACGGGCCCAAACCAUGUUGCUCAACUGUAUUUUAUUGCUGUGUUUGAAAUGCACCAAUUUCCAGUGCAGUGAGUCACUGCCCUGAGAAACUUUAUUAUCCACAUAGUCUUUAAGAGCCUGUCUCGGUAUGGGCUGUUAUUUUAUUGUUACAUUUUUAUGUUCUCUGAACAUUCCCUAGUAAAAAAAUAUUGAAACAACGUCUUCUUUUCCUUUGCCUUCGGUUGUCCCCUCAUAUAUAUUGCAUUUUUAAUGUGUGAGAAAAGUAAAGACCAAAACAACAAAAGAAACAGCGUGGCGUGACUGGGAGGUUCGCUGUAGUAAAUCAGCUGCAACAUGAGAUCCGGUUUAUCUUCAGUAUUUCUGACGGUGAGGGGAUGUUACAUCAUUACAUCUUAGAGGGGGAGGGGUGAGGGGGUGAGGGGAAGAGGGUGAGGGCUAGAGGGUGAGGGGGGAGGGUGAGGGGUCAAGGGUGAGGGGUGAGGGGUAGAAGGUGUGGGGGAGAGGGGGAGGGGUGAGGGCUAGAAGGUGAGGGGGAGGGGUAGAGGGUGAGGGGUGAGGCGGGGAGGGGUGAGGGAUAGAGGGUGAGAGGUGAGGGGUAGAGGGUGAGGGGGUGAGGAGGGGAGGGGUGAGGGGUAGAAGGUGAGGGGUGAGGGGUAGGGGGAGAGCGGUAGGGGUGAGGGGGGGAGGGGAGAGGGGUAGAGGGGGAGGGGUGAGCGGUAGAAGGUGAGGGGUAGAGAGUCAGGGGUAAAGGGUGAGGGGUGAGGGGUAGAGGGUGAGGGGGGGAGGGGAGAGGGGUAGAGGGGGAGGGGUGAGGGGGGGAGGGGAAGAGGGUGAGGGCUAGAGGGUGAGGGGGGGAGGGUGAGGGGUAAAGGGUGAGCGGUAGAAGGUGUGGGGGAGAGGGGGAGGGGUGAGGGCUAGAAGGUGAGGGGUAGAGGGUGAGGGGUGAGGGGUGAGGGGUAGAGGGUGAGGGGUAGGGGUGAGGCGGGGAGGGGGAGAGGGUGAGGGGUAGAGGGUGAGGGGUAGAGGGUGGGGGGUAGAGGGUGAGGGGUUGUUUAGGCCCAUCAGAAGCCCCCAGACGACCCCUUGCUCGACCACGAGCCCCGAUCCCCAGCGGAUCGGUUUCUCCCUUCCUCUCCACUGAUUACAGACUACAGACUAUACAGAGAGCCAUUGCUCUCUCUCCCUCUCCCUCUCUCUCUCUCUCUCUCUCUCUCUCUCUCUCUCCCUCUCUCUCUCUCUCUCUCCCUCUCUCUCUCUCUCUCUCUCUCUCUCUCCUCUCUCUCUCUCUCUCUCCCUCUCUCUCUCUCUCUCUCUCUCUCUCUCUCUCUCUCUCUCUCUCUCUCUCUCCCUCUCCCUCGCCAAAGUUUAUAUUUGUGAGUGAUAUUCAAAAACAUACUUCUCAGGCACUUUCUAUGGAAAGAAUGUAA